This is a long non-coding RNA of Oreochromis niloticus (Nile tilapia), 438 nucleotides long. RefSeq lists it as uncharacterized. The record is from RefSeq and is a predicted model, not a curated record. The transcript is spliced from 3 exons. NCBI's taxonomy places the organism in Eukaryota, Metazoa, Chordata, Actinopteri, Cichliformes, Cichlidae.
GCACUCUGUGUGGGGAACAUGAGAGCCAGACCAAAGCUCAGAGGAACCAGCCUGGACCUCCACCCAGCUCUGUGUCCUUACAGAGUGACUGGUCUGCUGGACGCUUCACUCUUUUUAAGGGAUACAAACUGUCUGCUGCAGAGAGGAUCUAUGGGAGACCUGCUGGACCUGUACCCAGCUCUGUGUCCUUAAAGAGUGACGCGUCUAAAGAUGACUUCACUGAUUUUAAAGUCCAGCCUGUGUCUGCUGCAGAGAGGUGAGCUGUUAGUAACACAACUCUUUGAUUGGAACUCUUUGAUUUAACUGCUUGAUGUUGUUGGAUAUAAAUGGCAGUACAAACACGUCAUUCCCUCAAUCCCAUUUAUACUGUCUAUUAAAAACUAGCCUGUGGUUUGUAAACAGCUGAAAAUCCACUUCCGCAAACAGGUAGUGAUGCUC